RNAcentral lists this transfer RNA (82 nucleotides) under Daphnia pulicaria. RNAcentral's name for it is "tRNA-Leu". It matches the Rfam family "tRNA". Rfam says of the family: Transfer RNA (tRNA) molecules are approximately 80 nucleotides in length. The record is from RNAcentral. Lineage: Eukaryota; Metazoa; Arthropoda; Branchiopoda; Diplostraca; Daphniidae.
GGUAGCGUGGCCGAGCGGUCCAAGGCGCUGAUUUAAGGCACCAGUCUCUUCGGGGGCAUGGGUUCGAAUCCCAUCGCUGCCA